This is a non-coding RNA of Labrus bergylta (ballan wrasse), 534 nucleotides long. The record is from RefSeq and is a predicted model, not a curated record. Lineage: Eukaryota; Metazoa; Chordata; Actinopteri; Labriformes; Labridae.
CCAAAUACUCAUCAUAAUGAUGUUCAGUCAUAUUUUUCAAGCAAUAAUACCUUUAUAUUACUGUUACAUUUACUAAGCCCUUGAAAUAUUUUUGAGAGCGAACCAAAGCUUAACCCAACCCAAACCAAAAAUGAUGAACAGGUGAAGCAGGCUCAUCCAGACAACUUCUCACUGAGCUUGAAAAAAUGACGACACGUAGGAUGCUGUCUAAAACAUUGGAACAUUUGAAUUCUGGGGAGCUUGAAGAUUUCUGCCUACUUGUUGAAUUGGAGAAAGGUGUCCCCCUCCUCUCAAAACUCGAUCUAAAAUCAAUAUGCCCAGAGAAAAUAGAGGAGCUGAUGGUGAAGAGAUACAGCGAGGAGGAGUGUGUGAAGUUGACCAGAAAUAUCUUAAAGAAGAUGAACAGGACUGCUCUCGUGAAGAGAUUGCUUGGCGACAGACGGGAGCCCGAAGAAGAACACUCUAUGGAUGAAGAGCCGCUUUCACUGACCCAGAGGGUGAGUAUGUCACAUCACUCUGACUUCACACAGCGUC